This 292-nucleotide ribosomal RNA is filed under the name uncultured Bacteroidota bacterium. Its description in RNAcentral is "uncultured Bacteroidetes bacterium partial 16S ribosomal RNA". Lineage: Bacteria; Pseudomonadati; Bacteroidota. The record is from RNAcentral.
GGACUACUGGGGUUUCUAAUCCUGUUUGAUCCCCACGCUUUCGUGCCUCAGCGUCAGUUACAGUUUAGUGAGCUGCCUUCGCAAUCGGUGUUCUAUGUCAUCUCUAAGAAUUUCACCUCUACAUGACAUAUUCCGCCCACUUCAAAUGUACUCAAGAUCAUCAGUAUCAAUGGCAUUUUCCAUGUUAAGCAUGGAGCUUUCACCACUGACUUAAUAAUCCGCCUACGCACCCUUUAAACCCAAUAAAUCCGGAUAACGCUUGGAUCCUUCGUAUUACCGCGGCGGCUGGCAC